Molecule: transfer RNA, 94 nt
Filed under: Desulfovibrio sp.
Lineage: Bacteria; Pseudomonadati; Thermodesulfobacteriota; Desulfovibrionia; Desulfovibrionales; Desulfovibrionaceae
Also listed under: 2 other names
Description: tRNA-Ser
Rfam family: tRNA
About the family: Transfer RNA (tRNA) molecules are approximately 80 nucleotides in length. Their secondary structure includes four short double-helical elements and three loops (D, anti-codon, and T loops).
Source: RNAcentral
GGAAAGGUAGCGAAGAGGCCGUAACGCGCUCGACUCGAAAUCGAGUUAUCGGUGAUGAGCCGGUACGUGGGUUCGAAUCCCACCCUUUCCGCCA